This 365-nucleotide ribosomal RNA is filed under the name uncultured bacterium. Its description in RNAcentral is "bacterial SSU rRNA". It matches the Rfam family "Bacterial small subunit ribosomal RNA", at positions 527 to 896 of the family's 1533-position model. The record is from RNAcentral.
GGAGGAUCCAAGCGUUAUCCGGAAUCAUUGGGUUUAAAGGGUCCGUAGGCGGUUUAGUAAGUCAGUGGUGAAAGCCCAUCGCUCAACGGUGGAACGGCCAUUGAUACUGCUAGACUUGAAUUAUUAGGAAGUAACUAGAAUAUGUAGUGUAGCGGUGAAAUGCUUAGAGAUUACAUGGAAUACCAAUUGCGAAGGCAGGUUACUACUAAUGGAUUGACGCUGAUGGACGAAAGCGUGGGUAGCGAACAGGAUUAGAUACCCUGGUAGUCCACGCCGUAAACGAUGGAUACUAGCUGUUGGGGGCAACUUCAGCGGCUAAGCGAAAGUGAUAAGUAUCCCACCUGGGGAGUACGUUCGCAAGAAUG